This is a long non-coding RNA of Amblyraja radiata (thorny skate), 977 nucleotides long. RefSeq lists it as uncharacterized. The transcript is spliced from 4 exons. NCBI's taxonomy places the organism in Eukaryota, Metazoa, Chordata, Chondrichthyes, Rajiformes, Rajidae. The record is from RefSeq and is a predicted model, not a curated record.
AACCUCCGCUUUUUGUCACCCAGCUCAAGGCUGAAAUAGCGAAGCGAUUCAUCACAUGAUAGUGAACUACGACUCUCCAGAGAGCCAGGAGAAAAGCUUGGGGCCACGUGGGACUACAUCCCAGAGGACGCUGAAGUGCUGUGGCUGGAAAGGUCCUUCCAACUGGACGGACAACCUGAUUAUAAAGAACAGCUCAUGCUGCUCUACCCCUGCUCCUGCCACCCAGAGGAGGGAGAACGACACCAUGCCUGAGGACUGGCUUCUGUGAGGGGGUGGACCCGUACAGCAGUGGCUGUGUUGCCAGUGUGGAGGAGUGGCUGUACAGCAACCUCGGCCUCAUCUUUGGCGUGUGCAUUGGAGUGGCUGUGAUCGAGGUGCUGGGGAUGGUUCUAUCAAUGUGUCUGUGUAAGAAUGUGGAGCAAGAGGACUACAGCAAGGUGCCACGGUUCUGAGGUAUACCAGGUACUCGGGAACUCUGCCGUGGCUCACCUAGUGUGUACGACAAAUCAGUGACUAACCAACACACACGGGAUUUGAUUGUUCAGCCUUUGUAUUUGCUUCACUGCUUGUUAACUUUAGCUUGUAUACUUCAGCACUUUAGUACUAUCAUUAAAACUGUUGAUCAGUAUCUAUUUUGUAAAGAUAAUGUUUUCUACUUUAGAGAACUUUUAGCAUGGUAUGUUUGUAAGGGAAUAAUAGUUAUAAAGAUUCAAGAAUGCAUGUGAUCAUUAUACCAGUCCUCUAUAUUAAACGUGGGGCAGGGAUGAUGAGAAUGUGCCUUUGUCCCGAGCUUCCGUGCGUGAACCGAUGUUCAUCGCUCUUCCUCGCAGCCCUACAGAAGCUCGGCAAAUCACCCCUGUAAAUCUUCAAGUUUUCUACCAGUUUUUGUUAUAAUGCAUCUUGAAUCAUUUGUCUAAAAACCUGUCCAGGAGUUUUCAUUGUCUGUCAUCCAGCCUCAAUAAAUACAUUUGAGAAAA